UCGGGGGUGGUGUAAUCGGUAACACAACGGGUUCUGAUCCCGUUAUUGGGGGUUCGAGUCCUCCCCCCCGAGC
RNAcentral lists this transfer RNA (73 nucleotides) under uncultured Actinomycetes bacterium. RNAcentral's name for it is "uncultured actinobacterium tRNA-Gln". It matches the Rfam family "tRNA". From Rfam's summary of the family: Transfer RNA (tRNA) molecules are approximately 80 nucleotides in length. Their secondary structure includes four short double-helical elements and three loops (D, anti-codon, and T loops). RNAcentral also lists the same sequence under 1 other name. The record is from RNAcentral. Lineage: Bacteria; Bacillati; Actinomycetota; Actinomycetes.